RNAcentral lists this ribosomal RNA (253 nucleotides) under uncultured bacterium. Its description in RNAcentral is "partial 16S ribosomal RNA". It matches the Rfam family "Bacterial small subunit ribosomal RNA", at positions 524 to 776 of the family's 1533-position model. The record is from RNAcentral.
GACGUAGGGCGCGAGCGUUGUCCGGAUUUAUUGGGCGUAAAGAGCGUGUAGGCGGCCAGCUAGGUCUGCUGUGAAAACUCGAGGCUCAACCUCGAGACGUCGGCGGAAACCAUCUGGCUAGAGUCCGGAAGAGGAGAGUGGAAUUCCUGGUGUAGCGGUGAAAUGCGCAGAUAUCAGGAAGAACACCCGUGGCGAAGGCGGCUCUCUGGGACGGUACUGACGCUGAGGCGCGAAAGCGUGGGGAGCAAACAGG